RNAcentral lists this long non-coding RNA (2649 nucleotides) under Panax ginseng (ginseng). Its description in RNAcentral is "long non-coding RNA (PGIN_LNC009361)". Lineage: Eukaryota; Viridiplantae; Streptophyta; Magnoliopsida; Apiales; Araliaceae. The record is from RNAcentral.
UGUAGUAGAGUGAUGAUUUAAAUUCUAAUUAUUUGGAAUGAUACUCUAAUUAAAUAUUUAGAUUGGAUAUCCUAAUUAAAUAUUUAGGGUUGGGUAAGAUAGAAAAGAAUUUGACUAUGUUAAUUUACAUGGCCCAAAGAAUUAAAUUUUAAGUCCAAUAUAUUAUUUAUUGAUAGCCCAAAAGAUGGAAAUGGUGGCCCAAAUUUAAGCCCAAUUAAGGAGGGACAUAUUGGACAUUUGGUAUGCUAAAAAAAAAAAAAAAAAAAAGAAAUCAAUUAUUGAUAUGGAAAUGUCCAUUUUACCCUUUUUGUCCCAUCUUGGUGAAUUAUUUCCUAGAGAAUCCUAUGAGCAAUAAUUUAGUUGGUUGAUUGAGUGGUGACUCUAUAUCUCUAGCAAUAAUCAACCCUCAAUCAAUUGCAAUCAAUUUUAUAAAGAUUAGAAAGAGAAAGUUCAUCCAUGGAAGAAGGAAGAAGGAAGAAGGAAGAAGGAAGAAGAAGAAGAAGGAAGGCUUAAGAAAAAGGUAAAUCCUAAAAUUAGUUUAUGCAAUUGAUUUUUAGUUUUCCAAAUCAAAGCUUGGAUUUAUGUUUCUAAACUCAAAAACCUUAGAUAUAUGUGUUAAUGAGUGUUUCAUGUUUAGCUAUAACCAUAUUGGGUGUUGAUUUGGUGAGAAUCAAAGGAAUAGAAAAAAAUGGAAAUUUUCUAGAAAAGUUAAAGUGUUUUGAUAUGGUGUUUUAGAUCAAGUGUUGAACUUAUGAUUUUGAACCAUAAGUUUAAGAUCUUGAACAUGAGAACUAUAGAUCUACAUGAUAAAUGAUAUUUUAUGGCUAGAUCUUGCCAUUUUUAGAGUUGAUAGGCUUGAACAAAGAAGAAUAACCAAAACAGUUUUUUUUGUUUUAAAUGAGUUAGUGGACUGCUGCCCUAAAACAGAAAAUUUCGGAUUUGUUAGAGUGCUCUAAAAAUUCUGGACUUGUGAUAUGUUAUAGUACACUCAAUAAGCUUUCCAUAGACUCUGAAACGGACUAAAUCCGACAUCAGAGGAGGGAGUUAUGGGAUUUCUCCCAAACUACACAAAGUUAAGAAAAUUAUGAAAAGGAUAGUUUUGGAACAGUCACUUCCGGGAUAAAUUCCGGGAGCUAAACAUAUCCAAAUAUGGAUUGUGAUAUAUGAAAACUGUAGUUCGGAAAGAUACGAAUCCAACAAAAUUGACGGAUCAUUAAUCGGAGUUACAGAUUUCGUUUUAUUUAAGUUUUGGUGAAGGACUCCAAAACUGCCAAAGUGCAAAAAGUUUCUGGCCAAAAUUUUCCGAGGGCUGUUUUGGACAUUUAGUUAAUGAGAAAAAUUACAGGCUUUUGGGAAAUGAAAAUAUAUGGUAAUAUGUAGCUCGUGUCCAAAAAUGAGCUAAUUCCGGCUUAAAACGACCAAGUUAUGACCAUUUCAAUUUUUGUGAUUUUCCGACGGAAAUCGCUAUAACCGGAGUUCUACAACUCCGAUUGCCACGAAAUUUAAAAUGGAGCAUCACGUUAACAUAUAUAAGGUUAUGUCAAAAGAUGGGCAUCUCUGGAGUUAAGCACGAGGUAGCUAAUUUUCUUAAGUCACGCACUAAUUAUGAUUUUUGAAAAAUAGUAAAAGAAAUUGAAAAAUUACGGAAAAAUAUUUUUUAUGUAUGAAAUACAUGUAUAUAUGUUUGACCAAAGGAUAAAAAAAUAAUAAGUUGAUUUGGUAUUUUUCGUGAAAAAGAAUAGUGAUUUCGGGAUACUGAAAUAAAAUCCGUCUUACUGAAAUGGUAUUUCGGUUUACUAAGAUGUUAUCUAAUUUACUAGGAUAACAUAUAAAAAUGAAUAACUUAUAAGUAUAAGUUAUGAUGUGAUUAAAAGAAUAUCAAAGUAUAAUAAUAAUAUUAAGACUUAAAACUAAUGUCUAAUACUUAACUAUAUGUUAUGACUAACCGAAAGAUCUAUUAUAGGUUUUAUAUGCUGUAUAGACUGAUAGGAUUAUGUGUUUAAGUUAUUUUAUAACGGUGAUGAUAUUAUUCUAAUAUUGGAGAUCUAUAUUAUUAAUAUUAGGUCUUCAGGAGAAGCGUAUUAUAUUGCGUUACGGUAAUCAACGGUUCAGGCAAGUUUUUCAAGUUCUUUUUACUUAAACUCUUUUAAGAGUGGUUUCAGACAGAUAUGCUUAUGAAUUGUACUCUGUACAUAUUGCAUGUAUUCAUCAGGUAUGAAAGGCUGAUCACCUUCAUUACCAGUCAGUUCAGAUAUAAUUGUUAUGUUCAUUUUCAAUGUUCAUUCAGCUUUGAAAUUUUGUUCAUGCUAAUUCACAACUACAUUGUGAAGGAUAGCCAGCUUAUUAUUCAAACUCUUUCAAUCAUGAUAUAUCUUUACCUUGUUUUUUUUAAACUUGCUGGGCAACUUUCAUGCUCACCCUUGCUAUAUCAUGAUAAAACAUUGCAGAUAAGGCGAAUACGGCCAGAUACAGGAAAAGGAUAAUGCCAAGUUCAGCUUGGGAUAAAAUGUGAAGUUAAGUUGUAAAGUAUGUUGAAGAAUAGUAUUGUCAUGUGUUAGACAGUUCACGAUUGUGUAUUAGUUAAGGUUACUCGAUUUUGGGAAUAGUGUGUAAAGUUUAAUGUAUAAACAAUUUAUGUUUAUAUCUUCC